This is a non-coding RNA of Triticum urartu, 1202 nucleotides long. The record is from RefSeq and is a predicted model, not a curated record. Lineage: Eukaryota; Viridiplantae; Streptophyta; Magnoliopsida; Poales; Poaceae.
AGAGAUGCACCGGUGCACACACGCCGCACGGUGGCCUGGUACUAGCACACUGCGGCGCACCACACCACACCGUGCACGCUGCAGUUUCGGCCACGGGAAAACGUUUGGAUGGAGGCGCUGGGCCUCCUGGGCCGCGCGUGCCGCCUCGCCACUUCCGCCGCCGCAGCACGGCCACUCCUCCCCCUCCCCCUCCUCGCAGCAACAGCAAGCGCUGCAGAGCCGUGCGCGCCGGAGCCAGAGCCGCCUCCUCGUCGGCGCCGCGGGCGAUGGAAGCCAAGCGGGAGGAGCCGAGGGUGGUGACGCUGCGGCCGGGGGAGGCCACGCCGGAGUCCUUCGCGCCCUUCGGGCAGGUCAUCGCCGCCUCCCCCGACGGCGACCAGUUCGGCCCCCACGACGCCCAGCUUGACCUCAGCCGCGGCAUCCCCAGGUUCUACAUCAUGAGAUUGGAGAGCAGGCCGCUCAAGUUCUCGUCCAUCACCCACCACGCCAGCGUCACGCAGUGCCUGGGCUCCAUCGGCGGCCAGGACUGGUACCUCGGCGUGGCCAAGCCUUCCAUCGUUGACGGGGCGACGGAGCAGAGUGGUGGCGGGAGUGCCGUGCAGUCGCGCGCUGGGCAUUUCUAUCUGCCCCCGGACCCGUCCGAGGUCUGCGUCUUCCGUGUCUCCGGUCCGAAAUUUCUCAAGCUGCACGCCGGGACCUGGCACGCCGGGCCGCUGUUCAAGGCAGACGCCGUGGAUUUCUAUAAUCUAGAGCUGAGCAACACCAAUAUUUUUCUACUGGAGGAAAUGUUGUGCACCCAAUCUAAAACAAGUGAGGAAAUCCAUCGGCUACCAUUUAGGCCAAACUCAAAAUGUUGGCACUAAAAAAGGAUGUGAAUUCAUAAAAUUAUGUUGCUUCAUCGUGCCAUUCGCACCAUUGCAUUUAAAUUAAAGCCGCGCUGCUGCUAGAUGAUCGUGGAUCACACCACGCACUACUUCAAGAAGCACGACGGUGUAGCCUUUGUGAUCGAGGACUGAGAGGCUGCGUCCUAGGCACAAAAGCUCGGCGCAGCGUGUGCCUCGCGGACGCUGUUCGUGCCAUGUCUGUCUCUCCGUGUGAUCGAACAUCCAGUAUGUAUGUGUAUGCAAUAAUGUACUAUGCGUACUGCAUGUCAUUUGUACGUGCCUACGUACGCAUCGGCCGCCUCCCUGGGCGUUUAUUUG